AAUAGAUACCCCGGUAGUCCACGCCGUAAACGAUGAGUGCUAGGUGUUAGGGGUUUCAAUACCCUUAGUGCCGCAGCUAACGCAAUAAGCACUCCGCCUGGGGAGUACAGUCGCAAGACUGAAACUCAAAGGAAUUGACGGGGGCCCGCACAAGCGGUGGAGCAUGUGGUUUAAUUCGAAGCAACGCGAAGAACCUUACCAGGUCUUGACAUCCCGCUGGCCGCUCUGGAGACAGAGCUUCCCUUCGGGGCAGCGGUGACAGGUGGUGCAUGGUUGUCGUCAGCUCGUGUCGUGAGAUGUUGGGUUAAGUCCCGCAACGAGCGCAGCCCUUAUCUUUAGUUGCCAGCAUUCAGUUGGGCACUCUAGAGAGACUGCCGUCGACAAGACGGAGGAAGGCGGGGAUGACGUCAAAUCAUCAUGCCCCUUAUGACCUGGGCUACACACGUGCUACAAUGGUUGGUACAACGGGAUGCUACCUCGCGAGAGGAUGCCAAUCUCUUAAAACCAAUCUCAGUUCGGU
RNAcentral lists this ribosomal RNA (520 nucleotides) under uncultured bacterium. Its description in RNAcentral is "bacterial SSU rRNA". It matches the Rfam family "Bacterial small subunit ribosomal RNA", at positions 777 to 1297 of the family's 1533-position model. The record is from RNAcentral.